Sus scrofa (pig) is the source of this 1811-nucleotide non-coding RNA. Lineage: Eukaryota; Metazoa; Chordata; Mammalia; Artiodactyla; Suidae. The record is from RefSeq and is a predicted model, not a curated record.
UCAACCAUACUCUAAAAAAAAGAUUACAUGAGUUCACAAUUCCACUCCUGGGUAUAUAUAUGAAAAAAAAAGGGACAUUAGUUUGAAAAGCUACAUGCGCCCCAAUAUUCAUAAUAGCAUUAUUUACAAUUGCCAAGAUAUGGAGGCAACAUAAGAGUCUAUCAACAGAUGAACAGAUAAAGAAGGUAUAGUGUGUGUGUGUGUGUGUAUAUUUACACACACAUACUGGAAUGCUACUCAACCAUAAAAAGAAUGAAAAUUUACUAUCUGCAAUAACAUGGGUGGAUUUGGAGGAUAUUAUGCUUCGUGAAAUGUCAGACAGAGGCAAAUACUGUAUGAUAUCACUUACAUAUGGAAUCUAAAAAAUACGAAAAACUAGUUAAUAAAACACAAAAGAAGCGGACUCACAGAUAGAACAUACCAGUGGUUGCCAGUGGGUAACGGGAAGGGGAGGGGGCCAAGCCAGGGGUGAGGGAUGAGGAAGUGUGAGCAAUCACACAUGCGAUAACUAAGCUACAAGGAUAUAUUGUACAGCCUAGGAAAUAUAGCCAAUAUAUUAUAAAACCCAUAAAUGGAGUAUAACCUUUAAAAAUGGUGAAUUAUCACGUUGUAACACCUGACACGUAUAUAAUCUUGUAUAUCGCCUACACCUCAGUUUACAGAACGAUCGCGUGCAUUCAUAAGCACGGGGUCCUAAUCCUGUUGGACCGGUGGCCUUGUAGGAGGAAAAGAGAUACCUCUCUCUGCCUCUCUCUGUCUCUGUCUCUGUCUUUCUCUCCAUAUACAGGUGGUGAAGAAAGGCCAUGUCAGGACACCGUGAAAAGACGGCCGUCUGUAUCCUGAUCUUGGGCUUCCAGCCUCCAGAACUGUGAGAAAAACGAAUGUCUAGUGUUGAAGCCCCAGCCCAUGCUGUAUUGUGGUGGCAGCCUCGUGCUAAGACACCUGCCACCGGGCAGUGUGGAUGGGAUGCUGCAGCCCCGAGGGAUGACUACGGCAAAUGUGGAUGCUCGGGAGUUUUAGGAGUUGAUGGAUGCGCAAGGAUGUCGUCAGAAAAAGCCAGGGCUUCCCGAGACCAGGGGCAGCUCACAGGAGGACACCGACAGAAGAUUCUGAUGGGAACAAAGCUGGAACCACAGGGUGGUUUUGGUUUUGGUUUGGUGCCUCCGUUAAGAGCACCGCUGGCUGUCGAGGCAGAGAGGAAGUGGAACAGAACCCGAGCUGGGAAGGAGCUGACACGUAAUCCCACGGAAAUUGUGGAACAUCCCUUCUGCUACUCUUUCAGUCAUGCUGGGAGAAAGGGAGCUGCUCUGUAACAAGGUGUUUUGGCGUAUUCAUAGGAGGAGGUGGGUUCAGGGUCUUCCCAUCCUGCCAUCUUGCCUCCUCUCUCAUGCACAUUUCCUGGCACGCUCUGGGUAAGAUAUUCAUUUGGGGACAUCAACAAAGCAAAGAAACAACCUCAGAGGGAGUCACUGGAAGCCACUAUUCACAGACAGCAUGAUGGAAGAAGCAGUGUCCCACAUAACGACACUUCCAGUGGUUGAUGAACGGGAUUCAUAAAUGCAGAUGCAAAAGAUCUAUGUUGUCUCAGGAUCUGAAGUGCCACCACAUGGUGAAUAAUAGCUGCACUGCUGCCAUCAUCUUGCUGUACAAGAGACAAAAUCAGCCAGGAAUGGUGCAUUCGAUGAGAAAAAACAGGACCUGCAUAGGAAGAGAAGACGCAGAUGUCGCAAAGUGUGCUGAUUGAACACGGUCAUCCUCUCUGUCCAUUGUUCCAAACCUUCAUUGAUAAACCACUCUGUCCUCAAUUUUAA